CAGUCGCCACGGUAAUACGGAGGGUGCAAGCGUUAAUCGGAAUUACUGGGCGUAAAGCGCACGCAGGCGGUCUGUCAAGUCAGAUGUGAAAUCCCCGGGCUUAACCUGGGAACUGCAUUUAAAACUGGCAGGCUAGAGUCUUGUAGAAGGGGGUAGAAUUCCAGGUGUAGCGGUGAAAUGCGUAGAGAUCUGGAGGAAUACCGGUGGCGAAGGCGGCCCCCUGGACAAAGACUGACGCUCAGGUGCGAAAGCGUGGGGAGCAAACAGGAUUAGAGACCCCGGUAGUCCCUGUCUCUUAUAC
Molecule: ribosomal RNA, 301 nt
Filed under: uncultured bacterium
Lineage: Bacteria
Description: partial 16S ribosomal RNA
Rfam family: Bacterial small subunit ribosomal RNA
Source: RNAcentral